RNAcentral lists this ribosomal RNA (418 nucleotides) under uncultured bacterium. RNAcentral describes it as "bacterial SSU rRNA". It matches the Rfam family "Bacterial small subunit ribosomal RNA", at positions 97 to 520 of the family's 1533-position model. The record is from RNAcentral.
GGCGAACGGGUGAGUAACACGUGGGUAACCUGCCCUGUACUCUGGGAUAAGCCUGGGAAACUAGGUCUAAUACCGGAUAUGACACUUCAUCGCAUGGUGUGGUGUGGAAAGUUCCGGCGGUACAGGAUGGACCCGCGGCCUAUCAGCUUGUUGGUGGGGUAAUGGCCUACCAAGGCGACGACGGGUAGCCGGCCUGAGAGGGCGACCGGCCACACUGGGACUGAGACACGGCCCAGACUCCUACGGGAGGCAGCAGUGGGGAAUAUUGCACAAUGGGCGAAAGCCUGAAUGCAGCGACAGCCGCGUUGAUGGGAUGACGGGCCUUCGGGUUGUAAACCUCCUUUCCAGUAGGGACGAAGCGCCAAGUGCCGGUACCUACAGAAGAUAGCACCGGCUAACUACGUGCCACCGACCGCGG